Molecule: ribosomal RNA, 779 nt
Filed under: Enterococcus faecium
Lineage: Bacteria; Bacillati; Bacillota; Bacilli; Lactobacillales; Enterococcaceae
Description: bacterial SSU rRNA
Rfam family: Bacterial small subunit ribosomal RNA
Source: RNAcentral
GACGAACGCUGGCGGCGUGCGUAAUACAUGCAAGUCGAACGCUUCUUUUUCCACCGGAGCUUGCUCCACCGGAAAAAGAAGAGUGGCGAACGGGUGAGUAACACGUGGGUAACCUGCCCAUCAGAAGGGGAUAACACUUGGAAACAGGUGCUAAUACCGUAUAACAAUCAAAACCGCAUGGUUUUGAUUUGAAAGGCGCUUUCGGGUGUCGCUGAUGGAUGGACCCGCGGUGCAUUAGCUAGUUGGUGAGGUAACGGCUCACCAAGGCCACGAUGCAUAGCCGACCUGAGAGGGUGAUCGGCCACAUUGGGACUGAGACACGGCCCAAACUCCUACGGGAGGCAGCAGUAGGGAAUCUUCGGCAAUGGACGAAAGUCUGACCGAGCAACGCCGCGUGAGUGAAGAAGGUUUUCGGAUCGUAAAACUCUGUUGUUAGAGAAGAACAAGGAUGAGAGUAACUGUUCAUCCCUUGACGGUAUCUAACCAGAAAGCCACGGCUAACUACGUGCCAGCAGCCGCGGUAAUACGUAGGUGGCAAGCGUUGUCCGGAUUUAUUGGGCGUAAAGCGAGCGCAGGCGGUUUCUUAAGUCUGAUGUGAAAGCCCCCGGCUCAACCGGGGAGGGUCAUUGGAAACUGGGAGACUUGAGUGCAGAAGAGGAGAGUGGAAUUCCAUGUGUAGCGGUGAAAUGCGUAGAUAUAUGGAGGAACACCAGUGGCGAAGGCGGCUCUCUGGUCUGUAACUGACGCUGAGGCUCGAAAGCGUGGGGAGCAAACAGGAU